GAUGAACGCUGGCGGCGUGCUUAACACAUGCAAGUCGAACGGAAAGGCCCAAGCUUGCUUGGGUACUCGAGUGGCGAACGGGUGAGUAACACGUGGGUGAUCUGCCCUGCACUUCGGGAUAAGCCUGGGAAACUGGGUCUAAUACCGGAUAGGACCACUUCUUGGAUGUUGUGGUGGAAAGUUUUUUCGGUGUGGGAUGAGCUCGCGGCCUAUCAGCUUGUUGGUGGGGUAAUGGCCUACCAAGGCGUCGACGGGUAGCCGGCCUGUGAGGGUGUACGGCCAUAUUGGGACUGAGGUACGGCCCAGACUGCUACGGGAGGCAGCAGGGGGGAAUAUUGCACAAUGGGCGCAAGCCUGAUGCAGCGACGCCGCGGGGGGGAUGACGGCCUUCGGGUUGUAAACUCCUUUCGCUAGGGACGAAGCGUUUUGUGACGGUACCUGGAGAAGAAGCACCGGCUAACUACGUG
RNAcentral lists this ribosomal RNA (467 nucleotides) under uncultured bacterium. Its description in RNAcentral is "partial 16S ribosomal RNA". It matches the Rfam family "Bacterial small subunit ribosomal RNA", at positions 28 to 507 of the family's 1533-position model. The record is from RNAcentral.